This 84-nucleotide transfer RNA is filed under the name Deltaproteobacteria bacterium. Its description in RNAcentral is "tRNA-Leu". It matches the Rfam family "tRNA". Rfam says of the family: Transfer RNA (tRNA) molecules are approximately 80 nucleotides in length. Their secondary structure includes four short double-helical elements and three loops (D, anti-codon, and T loops). The record is from RNAcentral. Lineage: Bacteria; Pseudomonadati; Myxococcota; Myxococcia.
GCCCGGGUGGCGGAAUUGGCAGACGCGCCAGACUCAAAAUCUGGUGAGGGCAACCUCGUGCCGGUUCGACCCCGGCCCCGGGCA